RNAcentral lists this non-coding RNA (31 nucleotides) under Mus musculus (house mouse). Lineage: Eukaryota; Metazoa; Chordata; Mammalia; Rodentia; Muridae. The record is from RNAcentral.
UGGGAUGAAAUUUAAGACUUGGGACCACAGU